CACAGAGUUUGCCGGUGCUUCCUCUCCUGGUACCAUCACGCUACUGGAACUUUCCCCCAAUAGCCGUUUUUCCCAGGCGACAGAGCUUUACAACCCGAAGGCCUUCCUCACUCACGCGGCGUGGCUGCGUCAGACUUUCGUCCAUUGCGCAAUAUUCCCUACUGCUGCCUCCCGUAGGAGUCUGGACCGUGUUUCAGUUCCAGUGUGCCUGAUCAUCCUCUCAGACCAGGUACCCAUCAUUGUCUUGGUAAGCCGUUACCUCACCAACUAACUAAUGGGACGCAGACUCAUCCAUCGGCGAUAGCUUGCGCCAUCUUUCCACUCAAGAGCUUCACGCCCUCGAGUGCGUACUCGGCAUUAGCCCGUCUUUCGACAGGUUAUUCCAAUCCAAAGGGUAGAUUAUCCACGUGUUACUCACCCGUGCGCCGCUUUACUCAUCCUUGCGGACUUUCGCGCUCGACUUGCAUGUAUGAGGCCCGCCGCCAGCGUUCGUUCC
Molecule: ribosomal RNA, 496 nt
Filed under: uncultured delta proteobacterium
Lineage: Bacteria; Deltaproteobacteria
Description: partial 16S ribosomal RNA
Source: RNAcentral